Non-coding RNA from Lineus longissimus, 127 nucleotides. RefSeq annotates it as small Cajal body-specific RNA 8. The record is from RefSeq and is a predicted model, not a curated record. NCBI's taxonomy places the organism in Eukaryota, Metazoa, Nemertea, Pilidiophora, Heteronemertea, Lineidae. The transcript has a single exon.
GGGGAAGAGAUACCCAGCCUGACACUAGUCACUGUUUGGUUGGCACUCAACUUCCCGAGAUUAACGUGCUUUCUGAUGACUGUGAUGUUUCAAGUACACCUCACAGACAGAUACGGAGCAGACAUCG